CACAGCUGCCGCUGACACGGGUCCUGUUGUCCCACGCUCACGGCAACCCCGUGACGUUUGUCGGAUGUACAUGUACCCACUUCCCAGAUAAAGAAGGGCAAAAACAGAAGGUGACGUUCUGGGGAAGGGAGGAAACUGGGUCAAGUCCUACAGAUGAGUGACUGUCUUUUGGGAAAAAGACCAGAGCAUCCUGUGGUGGGAACAGAAACCGCACCCUCGAGCAGCCAGGACGGCCCUAGGCCCGUGAGACCCCGUGACUGACCCCGAGACAGUGACGGACCUGACCUUCACCGCCUACCUGCCCACGUCCUCCUCCUGUAGGCCUGGAGCUGUUUUCCACCCUUGGGGGACGGUCUUUGAGGCGCUGGUCCGCGGGCUUCCCGGGCCUGGCUCCGCGAAACGAACGCCUGUCCUGUCUCACCCCCGCCGUCUCCCUGCCUUUGAUGCUGCCAGCGGCGCGUGGCUGACCUGGUCCAUCGGGGACCCCACCCCAGCGCCCCGGCCACGCUUGCCUUUCGAGGCUGUCUUGCACGUAGAGCACGCGUGUGUACAUCCACCGACGGGCACGCGGCCGCCGACUCCUGCCGGCUGCUGGGAACGCGGGUGUGGUUUAUCUUCGAGAACCUGCUUACUGCUCUCUGCGCUCCCGCCGGGCGUGGGAUGGCUGUGGUGUUGGUAUUUUUAAAGGGAUUUAACAAAUCAUGUUGAAAGACUUCCCUGAAGUUUUAGUCUUGAAUGCACUAAUCAGUAACUAAAAUUAUAGCGCCUGAUAGAAACAACUUACGUGGGUUUUGGGGGGACAUUCUCAAAGGAGUUUUUAAAAAUAAGGUAUUUAUUUAUUUGCGAGAGAGCGGGGGAGAA
Mustela erminea (ermine) is the source of this 861-nucleotide long non-coding RNA. RefSeq lists it as uncharacterized. The record is from RefSeq and is a predicted model, not a curated record. NCBI's taxonomy places the organism in Eukaryota, Metazoa, Chordata, Mammalia, Carnivora, Mustelidae. The transcript is spliced from 3 exons.